AUUUGGUGUCUACACUGCUAGUACUCCAGUUCAGCUUUCGCUGACCAUGACUCUAUUUGGCUAACUGCACAGAUUUGCUGAUAGCUCACCAGUUAUCAGCUACUCUGCUAAAUGAAUAGAAUGAACCAGACACAGUCUUCACGCUGUGGCAGCUCUCAGUCUAAUGUCAGGGAGGCAAGCAAGUGAACCAGACAGAACAAUACUGUGCGAUGAGCAUCAAACAUGUUGAAAGAACAUGACAGAAGCAUAUGCUCAUUCAAAGGAGGAGCCGGAGCUUCUAGUAAAAGCCAACAGAGAGGGGCAGCUGGAAAGAGGAGAAGAGGAUUAGAAGAGCUUUUCCUCAGUGGCAUUUUUGAGACUUCAAAAUGCUCUUAGAAGCUACUUAACAACAAAAUCAGUUGAUCCCAUUGUUGCAGCUCAGAAUUCUGUUUCAGUAUAUCGCAGCUGAGUAAGGAAGCUAAGGCGCUGGAGUGGUAUUAAUGCAUCACCCAUGGAUAUGUCCAAAAGCUCUUAAUUAUAGCACCUUAAAGAAGUCUUACAAAAAUCCUCCAGCCUUCCACAAGACCUGGGUCUCCUGGGGCCAGGACCACCAAAGAGAAAAUAAAAUCCCAGAUCUCUGAGGGUCUCACCAAGUUGUA
This is a long non-coding RNA of Homo sapiens (human), 638 nucleotides long. RefSeq lists it as uncharacterized. The transcript is spliced from 3 exons. The record is from RefSeq and is a predicted model, not a curated record. Lineage: Eukaryota; Metazoa; Chordata; Mammalia; Primates; Hominidae.